Molecule: long non-coding RNA, 456 nt
Filed under: Vitis vinifera (wine grape)
Lineage: Eukaryota; Viridiplantae; Streptophyta; Magnoliopsida; Vitales; Vitaceae
Description: long non-coding RNA (VVIN_LNC005958)
Source: RNAcentral
UCCGGAAUAAGGGGGAGCCGUUCCGGGCUCAACCUUCAUGUUCAUCACCCUCGUCUUUAUUACAUCCACUGGGUUCGACGCCACUGCUGCCACAAAUCCCGCCGCAAAGCUAGCCGUCACGUGGGUUCCCAACCCAUCUUUCAUCACACCCUUCUCCAAUAUUGUCUCCUUUAUCUGGUCGUACGAUGCUAGCUGCGAUGCCGUCACGAUCAUCGCGCGGUUCACCGUCAGUGCCGACCCUCGCCACAGACUGGCGAUCCCCUCCUGCUUAGACAUCCGCGUUAUGGCGUCAAUCACGCCCUGGUAGUUUCGACGCUGGGUUACCGGCAGGCGACCGUCAGCUUGCAUACGGACCAUGGCGACGUCGGCCGGGUUGCCGACGGCGGCGCCGAUGCCGCCUGCGACUAGCCCCGCUGCUAUCUUGCGCACGAGGGGCAUGUUGCCUGAAUCUGGAUC